Molecule: ribosomal RNA, 1434 nt
Filed under: Triticum aestivum (bread wheat)
Lineage: Eukaryota; Viridiplantae; Streptophyta; Magnoliopsida; Poales; Poaceae
Description: partial small subunit ribosomal RNA
Source: RNAcentral
AUGACAAGACCCAAAUAUCUUGGAGGUUUAGGGUUCAGGAAUCUUGAACUCUUUAACUUGGCACUCCUGGCACGACAGUCUUGGAGGGUGCUACAGGACCCUUCGUCUUUGAGCUCUAGGAUCCUCAAAGCGUCGUAUUACCCUGACAGGUCACUCCUAAAUGCAGAAAUUGGGUCAAGACCGUUCGACCCACCAGAGAGGGUAGCGGAACUCAUGCUACCAGCUAUGGCUGCAUGGAAUGAGCAGCUGGUUCGAUUUGUGUUCCUGCCUACGGAUGCAGAGGCGAUCUUAAGGAUCCCAGUGUGCACCAGAAAUACUGAAGAUUUCUGGGCAUGGCACCCAGAGAAGAAGGGCCGGUUUACAGUCAGUUCGGCAUAUAAGUUUAUGGUGAAAACCAAGAUAACUAGGGAAGACUGGCUUGAGGGCAGAUCGGGAUCAUCAAGUACUGACAGAGAAGAAAAUGAUUGGUCUAAAUUGUGGAGUCUGACGGUGCCGUCAAAACUGAGAAUAUUUUUGUGGCGUUUGGCUCGCCAUUCACUGCCCACAACAGACGUGUUGAGCAGACGAAACAUGGCUACCCGUGACGCAUGUCCGUUGUGUGGGACACCUGACUCAUGGCGCCAUGCCCUGAUCUCCUGUACGUCCGCGAGGUGUACGUGGGCAUUGUCAGACCCUCUGUUGGUAGCAAAAAUGGCGGAGAAUACAGAGCCAGGAGCUAAGAGCUGGCUAUUUCAGAUGUAUGAGGCCCUUGAUCACAGCACGUUCACGAGAAUGGUGGUGACCCUGUGGUCUAUUUGGUAUGCUCGGCGCCAGGCAAUACACGAAGGCGUUUUUCAGUCUCCUAUGCAAACGUCUUCCUUUGUGAACUCCUAUAUCAGUGAGCUGGAUCAAAUUGCUAAUACGGAAACCAAGCCAGUUAUGGGAAUUCAGCAUCAGGUGGGCCCAAGACAAUGGCUUCUUUCACCUAGUGGAGUGGCAAAGAUUAAUGCUGAUGGUGCAGUUGCACGCAACAUGCGCGGUGGGGCUGUCGCCGCUGUGUGCCGAGAUCACACCGGAGCUUAUUUGGGGUCCUCGGCUGUUGUCUUCCGGGACACAAGAGACCCGACAGUUUUGGAAACGUUUGCAUGCAGAGAAGCACUAUCACUUGCAGAGGAUUUACAUGUUCAGAACCUGAUGGUAGCAUCUGACUGUCAGGGAGUUGUAAAUGACAUAGUUCAUGGAACGGGAGGUCAUCACUCAGCCAUAGUCCAUGAAAUUAUGAGCCGUAGAGAUAGUUUUAAUCAGUGCUCUUUUGUCCAUGAGCGUAGGAAUCACAAUUUUGAAGCUCACAAUCUUGCCAAAUUUGCUUGUAAUUUAGCCAUAGGUAGACAUAUUUGGUUGGGUUCUCCACAUAACCCAAGGCUUGUACCUAUGAACAUUAUCGUGAAUCAAUAA